RNAcentral lists this transfer RNA (83 nucleotides) under Candidatus Omnitrophota bacterium. Its description in RNAcentral is "tRNA-Leu". It matches the Rfam family "tRNA". Rfam says of the family: Transfer RNA (tRNA) molecules are approximately 80 nucleotides in length. The record is from RNAcentral. Lineage: Bacteria; Pseudomonadati; Candidatus Omnitrophota.
GCCGAAGUGGUGGAACGGCAGACGCGCUAGCUUCAGGAGCUAGUGGGAUCACUCCCAUGGGGGUUCGAAUCCCCCCUUCGGCA